AAUCCAUGACGAGGGCACAAUCUUAGCAUCUCCUAAAAGCGCUCCCAAGUUUCAUAGAACAAUUCUCCAUCCUUUUGAGAAAAACUAGUGAUUUGAUUUCUCAAUU
Cicer arietinum (chickpea) is the source of this 106-nucleotide non-coding RNA. Lineage: Eukaryota; Viridiplantae; Streptophyta; Magnoliopsida; Fabales; Fabaceae. The record is from Rfam.